UACGUAGGCAGCGAGCGUUGUUCGGAAUUACUGGGCGUAAAGAGUGUGUAGGCGGUGUUCUCAGUCUGUUGUGAAAUCUCCCGGCUUAACUGGGAGGGUGCAGCGGAAACUAGAAUGCUAGAGGGUGGGAGAGGUAAGCGGAAUUCCUGGUGUAGCGGUGAAAUGCGUAGAUAUCAGGAGGAACACCUGUGGUGUAGACAGCUUACUGGACCACUUCUGACGCUGAGACACGAAAGCGUGGGUAGCAAACAGG
This 253-nucleotide ribosomal RNA is filed under the name uncultured bacterium. RNAcentral describes it as "partial 16S ribosomal RNA". It matches the Rfam family "Bacterial small subunit ribosomal RNA", at positions 524 to 776 of the family's 1533-position model. The record is from RNAcentral.